UGAACCCAACUUAUUUAUGAAAUGGUUAGGUAUGUUCCAUCAAUUAUGUCCAUGUCCAUUUAUACUAGAAGCCAAUUUGGUUGCUUUUAUUUGGACAUCGAAACUCAGUUCAGAUAAGAGGGAACCUAUUUAGGUGUUUGGUUGGCCUGAAGUGGAGUUGAAUUUAGUUCUUACCAUAUGUUGCCGGUGUAACGCCAACAUGUGGUGGGACCGUCCCAACCAAAACAUUAAAAGAAAAUGAACCAGUGCAAAAAAGGCACGCUAAACAGAGGCCGUGGCAA
This 281-nucleotide long non-coding RNA is filed under the name Elaeis guineensis (African oil palm). Its description in RNAcentral is "long non-coding RNA (EGUI_LNC013294)". The record is from RNAcentral. Lineage: Eukaryota; Viridiplantae; Streptophyta; Magnoliopsida; Arecales; Arecaceae.